Molecule: ribosomal RNA, 253 nt
Filed under: uncultured bacterium
Lineage: Bacteria
Description: partial 16S ribosomal RNA
Rfam family: Bacterial small subunit ribosomal RNA
Source: RNAcentral
UACAGAGGGGGCAAGCGUUGUUCGGAAUUACUGGGCGUAAAGCGCGUGUAGGCGGUUCGUAAAGUCGGAUGUGAAAUCCCCGGGCUCAACCUGGGAACUGCACUUGUGACUGCAUCGCUGGAGUGCGGCAGAGGGGGAUGGAAUUCCGCGUGUAGCAGUGAAAUGCGUAGAUAUGCGGAGGAACACCGAUGGCGAAGGCAACCCCCUGGGCCUGCACUGACGCUCAUGCACGAAAGCGUGGGGAGCAAACAGG